UUGAACGCUGGCGGCAGGCCUAACACAUGCAAGUCGCGCGGAUGAAGGGAGCUUGCUCCUGGAUUCAGCGGCGGACGGGUGAGUAAUGCCUAGGAAUCUGCCUGGUAGUGGGGGAUAACGUCCGGAAACGGGCGCUAAUACCGCAUACGUCCUGAGGGAGAAAGGGGGGGAUCUUCGGACCCCACGCUAUCAGAUGAGCCUAGGUCGGAUUAGCUAGUUGGUGGGGUAAAGGCCUACCAAGGCGACGAUCCGUAACUGGUCUGAGAGGAUGAUCAGUCACACUGGAACUGAGACACGGUCCAGACUCCUACGGGAGGCAGCAGUGGGGAAUAUUGGACAAUGGGCGAAAGCCUGAUCCAGCCAUGCCGCGUGUGUGAAGAAGGUCUUCGGAUUGUAAAGCACUUUAAGUUGGGAGGAAGGGCAGUAAGUUAAUACCUUGCUGUUUUGACGGUACCAACAGAAUAAGCACCGGCUAACUUCGUG
RNAcentral lists this ribosomal RNA (483 nucleotides) under uncultured bacterium. RNAcentral describes it as "partial 16S ribosomal RNA". It matches the Rfam family "Bacterial small subunit ribosomal RNA", at positions 30 to 507 of the family's 1533-position model. The record is from RNAcentral.